GCGGGUGUAACUCAGUUGGUAGAGUGCAACCUUGCCAAGGUUGAUGUCGCGAGUUCGAGUCUCGUCACCCGCUCCC
RNAcentral lists this transfer RNA (76 nucleotides) under Verrucomicrobiales bacterium. RNAcentral describes it as "tRNA-Gly". It matches the Rfam family "tRNA". From Rfam's summary of the family: Transfer RNA (tRNA) molecules are approximately 80 nucleotides in length. Their secondary structure includes four short double-helical elements and three loops (D, anti-codon, and T loops). Further hydrogen bonds mediate the characteristic L-shaped molecular structure. tRNAs have two regions of fundamental functional importance: the anti-codon, which is responsible for specific mRNA codon recognition, and the 3' end, to which the tRNAs corresponding amino acid is attached (by aminoacyl-tRNA synthetases). tRNAs cope with the degeneracy of the genetic code in two manners: having more than one tRNA (with a specific anti-codon) for a particular amino acid; and 'wobble' base-pairing, i.e. permitting non-standard base-pairing at the 3rd anti-codon position. RNAcentral also lists the same sequence under 1 other name. Lineage: Bacteria; Pseudomonadati; Verrucomicrobiota; Verrucomicrobiia; Verrucomicrobiales. The record is from RNAcentral.